RNAcentral lists this long non-coding RNA (204 nucleotides) under Brassica napus (rape). Its description in RNAcentral is "long non-coding RNA (BNAP_LNC017800)". Lineage: Eukaryota; Viridiplantae; Streptophyta; Magnoliopsida; Brassicales; Brassicaceae. The record is from RNAcentral.
GUUAACUUGAAGAAUAGAAAUGGAGUGAAAGGAGAAGUAUGGAGUAGUUUGGGUCUAGUGCAAAGAGAGGGCAAGUCUUACAAAGAUUGUCUGUCAAGCUUCAGGAGGGUCUUAAGAAGUCAAGAAGUGAUCUUAUGGCUGUGGAAGAUUGGGUUUAAGUCCAGGAGGGACUUAGACACCAUUUGGAGAAUAUUUGGUUGAGAC